RNAcentral lists this small nuclear RNA (107 nucleotides) under Procavia capensis (Cape rock hyrax). Lineage: Eukaryota; Metazoa; Chordata; Mammalia; Hyracoidea; Procaviidae. The record is from RNAcentral.
GUGCUUGCUUUGGCAAAACAUAUACUAAAGUUGAAACGAGAUAGAGAAGAUUAGCAUGGUAACUGCACAAGGGUGACAUGCAAAUUCAUGAAGUGUUCCAUAUUUAU